GGGCCUGUAGUAAAAUGGCAUUACACGUCAUUCGCAUUGACGAGGCGCGAGUUCGAUUCUCGCCAGGUCCACCA
Molecule: transfer RNA, 74 nt
Filed under: Candidatus Staskawiczbacteria bacterium RIFCSPHIGHO2_01_FULL_39_25
Lineage: Bacteria; Candidatus Staskawicziibacteriota
Also listed under: 2 other names
Description: tRNA-Ala
Rfam family: tRNA
About the family: Transfer RNA (tRNA) molecules are approximately 80 nucleotides in length. Their secondary structure includes four short double-helical elements and three loops (D, anti-codon, and T loops).
Source: RNAcentral